This 469-nucleotide ribosomal RNA is filed under the name uncultured soil bacterium. Its description in RNAcentral is "bacterial SSU rRNA". It matches the Rfam family "Bacterial small subunit ribosomal RNA", at positions 31 to 488 of the family's 1533-position model. The record is from RNAcentral.
GAACGCUGGCGGCGUGCCUAACACAUGCAAGUCGAGCGGAAAGGCUCCUUCGGGAGUACUCGAGCGGCGAACGGGUGAGUAACACGUGGGUAAUCUGCCCAGGACACAGGAAUAACCAGUGGAAACGCUGGCUAAUGCCUGAUGACGUGCAGACCUCUUGGGGUUCUGUACCAAAGGUAGCUUCGGCCUCCGGUCCUGGAUGAGCCCGCGGCCCAUUAGCUAGUUGGCGGGGUAACGGCCCACCAAGGCGACGAUGGGUAGCUGGUCUGAGAGGACGAUCAGCCACACUGGGACUGAGACACGGCCCAGACUCCUACGGGAGGCAGCAGUGGGGAAUCUUGCGCAAUGGGCGAAAGCCUGACGCAGCAACGCCGCGUGCGGGAAGAAGGCCUUCGGGUUGUAAACCGCUUUCAGCGGGGAAGAAGGCGAGCGGGUUAAUAGCCCGUCAGCUGACGGUACCCGCAGAAGA